This 44-nucleotide small nuclear RNA is filed under the name Carlito syrichta (Philippine tarsier). Its description in RNAcentral is "U7 small nuclear RNA (ENSTSYG00000030515.1)". It matches the Rfam family "U7 small nuclear RNA". From Rfam's summary of the family: Animal histone pre-mRNAs are spliced by a different mechanism than nuclear pre-mRNAs and self-splicing introns. This processing involves the U7 snRNP, which contains only one RNA species: U7. Lineage: Eukaryota; Metazoa; Chordata; Mammalia; Primates; Tarsiidae. The record is from Rfam by way of RNAcentral.
UAGUGUUACAGCUCUUUUAGAAUUUGUCUAGAAGAUUCUUCCAU